GACGAACGCUGGCGGCGUGCUUAACACAUGCAAGUCGAACGGAAAGGCCCUGCUUUUGUGGGGUGCUCGAGUGGCGAACGGGUGAGUAACACGUGAGUAACCUGCCCUUGACUUUGGGAUAACUUCAGGAAACUGGGGCUAAUACCGGAUAGGAGCUCCUGCUGCAUGGUGGGGGUUGGAAAGUUUCGGCGGUUGGGGAUGGACUCGCGGCUUAUCAGCUUGUUGGUGGGGUAGUGGCUUACCAAGGCUUUGACGGGUAGCCGGCCUGAGCGGGUGACCGGCCACAUUGGGACUGAGAUACGGCCCAGACUCCUACGGGAGGCAGCAGUGGGGAAUAUUGCACAAUGGGCGGAAGCCUGAUGCAGCAACGCCGCGUGCGGGAUGACGGCCUUCGGGUUGUAAACCGCUUUCGCCUGUGACGAAGCGUGAUUGACGGUAAUGGGUAAAGAAGCACCGGCUAACUACGUG
RNAcentral lists this ribosomal RNA (468 nucleotides) under uncultured bacterium. Its description in RNAcentral is "partial 16S ribosomal RNA". It matches the Rfam family "Bacterial small subunit ribosomal RNA", at positions 28 to 507 of the family's 1533-position model. The record is from RNAcentral.